This 585-nucleotide ribosomal RNA is filed under the name uncultured bacterium. RNAcentral describes it as "bacterial SSU rRNA". It matches the Rfam family "Bacterial small subunit ribosomal RNA", at positions 338 to 914 of the family's 1533-position model. The record is from RNAcentral.
CCUACGGGAGGCAGCAGUAGGGAAUCUUCCGCAAUGGACGAAAGUCUGACGGAGCAACGCCGCGUGAACGAUGAAGGCCUUCGGGUCGUAAAGUUCUGUUGUCAGGGAAGAACAAGUAUCGGAGUAACUGCCGGUACCUUGACGGUACCUGACCAGAAAGCCACGGCUAACUACGUGCCAGCAGCCGCGGUAAUACGUAGGUGGCAAGCGUUGUCCGGAAUUAUUGGGCGUAAAGCGCGCGCAGGCGGUUCCUUAAGUCUGAUGUGAAAGCCCCCGGCUCAACCGGGGAGGGUCAUUGGAAACUGGGGAACUUGAGUGCAGAAGAGGAGAGCGGAAUUCCACGUGUAGCGGUGAAAUGCGUAGAGAUGUGGAGGAACACCAGUGGCGAAGGCGGCUCUCUGGUCUGUAACUGACGCUGAGGCGCGAAAGCGUGGGGAGCGAACAGGAUUAGAUACCCUGGUAGUCCACGCCGUAAACGAUGAGUGCUAAGUGUUAGAGGGUUUCCGCCCUUUAGUGCUGCAGCAAACGCAUUAAGCACUCCGCCUGGGGAGUACGGCCGCAAGGCUGAAACUUAAAGGAAUUGAC